This 1802-nucleotide ribosomal RNA is filed under the name Neolyngbya intertidalis Nas1. RNAcentral's name for it is "bacterial SSU rRNA". The stretch from base 1 to 1454 matches the Rfam family "Bacterial small subunit ribosomal RNA". Lineage: Bacteria; Bacillati; Cyanobacteriota; Cyanophyceae; Oscillatoriales; Sirenicapillariaceae. The record is from RNAcentral.
GGGGAGGCGGUCUGCUUACAUGCAAGUCGAACGGUCUCUUCGGAGAUAGUGGCGGACGGGUGAGUAAUGCGUGAGAACCUGCCCCAAGGACGGGGACAACAGAAGGAAACUUCUGCUAAUCCCGGAUGAGCCGAAAGGUAAAAGAUUUAUCGCCUUGGGAUGAGCUCGCGUCUGAUUAGCUAGUUGGUGGGAUAAAAGCCUACCAAGGCAACGAUCAGUAGCUGGUCUGAGAGGAUGAUCAGCCACACUGGGACUGAGACACGGCCCAGACUCCUACGGGAGGCAGCAGUGGGGAAUUUUCCGCAAUGGGCGAAAGCCUGACGGAGCAAGACCGCGUGGGGGAGGAAAGCCUUUGGGUUGUAAACCCCUUUUCUCAGGGAAGAAGAAAGUGACGGUACCUGAGGAAUCAGCCUCGGCUAACUCCGUGCCAGCAGCCGCGGUAAUACGGAGGAGGCAAGCGUUAUCCGGAAUGAUUGGGCGUAAAGCGUCCGCAGGUGGCUAAUCAAGUCUGCUGUUAAAUCCAGUAGCUUAACUACUGAGGGGCAGUGGAAACUGAUGAGCUAGAGUGCGGUAGGGGCAGAGGGAAUUCCUGGUGUAGCGGUGAAAUGCGUAGAGAUCAGGAAGAACACCGGUGGCGAAAGCGCUCUGCUGGACCGCAACUGACACUCAGGGACGAAAGCUAGGGGAGCGAAUGGGAUUAGAUACCCCAGUAGUCCUAGCUGUAAACGAUGGAGACUAGGUGUUGCCUGUAUCGACCCGGGCAGUGCCGUAGCUAACGCGUUAAGUCUCCCGCCUGGGGAGUACGCACGCAAGUGUGAAACUCAAAGGAAUUGACGGGGGCCCGCACAAGCGGUGGAGUAUGUGGUUUAAUUCGAUGCAACGCGAAGAACCUUACCAGGGCUUGACAUGUCCGGAAGCUUGGGGAAACCUGAGUGUGCCUUCGGGAGCCGGAACACAGGUGGUGCAUGGCUGUCGUCAGCUCGUGUCGUGAGAUGUUGGGUUAAGUCCCGCAACGAGCGCAACCCUCGUCCUUAGUUGCCAUCAUUAAGUUGGGCACUUUAGGGAGACUGCCGGUGACAAACCGGAGGAAGGUGGGGAUGACGUCAAGUCAUCAUGCCCCUUACGUCCUGGGCGACACACGUACUACAAUGGGAAGGACAAAGGGCAGCCAACUAGCGAUAGUGAGCUAAUCCCAGAAACCUUUCCUCAGUUCAGAUUGCAGGCUGCAACUCGCCUGCAUGAAGGAGGAAUCGCUAGUAAUCGCAGGUCAGCAUACUGCGGUGAAUCCGUUCCCGGGCCUUGUACACACCGCCCGUCACACCAUGGAAGUUAACCAUGCCCGAAGUCAUUACUCUAACCCGUAAGGGAGGGGAAUGCCGAAGGCAGGGUUGAUGACUGGGGUGAAGUCGUAACAAGGUAGCCGUACCGGAAGGUGUGGCUGGAUCACCUCCUUUUCAGGGAGACCUAACUUCAGAUUAGAGUUCAGCUCAAGUGAGUUGAGAAAACACCUCUUAUUAUUAACUGAAGUCAUCCCAGGUCGAGCGAAGCAAUGCCAGACAAAGGCUUUCAAACUACGAUAAGGUUCGUAUACAAUAAGAUAUGCACGGAAGAAUUCAGCAAGAGAUGAAAAUCAAACUGCUGGAUCACAAUCCAGUCAGAACAUUGACAACUGCAUAGAGACAAAAGUCAGGUCAGUCUGAAGAAAACAGACAAGGUCAAGCUAGAAAGGGCUGACGGUGAAUACCUAGGCACCCUUAAGGCCAAGACAGUUUGUAGGAAAUACUUACAAUAAAUGGAAAAGA